GUGCACUCCCCGCGCGGGUCCGAGAGCGGCCCUUCCCAGCCCCGAGGGUGACGGUGCUGGGAAGGACAGGGGGAAGACGAGGAGGAGAAGGAGCAUGUUGUCCCAACCCAGGUGUCCUGGCGCGCCCCGCCAGUGUAUAGGCGGUGUCUUACAAGAGUGUAAUAGGGAUGCCCGGUGUUGAGAAAGGAACGGAGCAGGGGAAAUAAUCUCGGAGGCUGCUGAAGCAGGUGGAGCUUGCAGGGGGCUGGGAAGCAGAGGCUGCAGGCAUCCAAACCCUGAGCAAGGAAUCCAGCACUUGUGAAAAGUGCCAGCAGUGGUGUGGGACUAGCAUACCUCACUGUGGGAGGCACAGCUGGGUUUGUCAAAAGUGCUUUACGAUUAUUAUUAUUAUUUAAAAGAACCUAAAUUGUCUUUCCAUAUCCCUUCCUCUUAUGGGACAAUAGUGUUUGCUUAUGCUACCUAAUUCAGUCACUCAGCUUGAGUGGAUUUCCCUGCCUUCCUCACACCCACUGCCUCUAGAACAAGUACCUGCUCUGAAUUUCCUCUCAGUUCGUUCUCACCACCUGUUGGUGGCCCUGCAAGUUGUUACCAUACACCACAAAUUCACAAGCUAAACUUCAUGCAAACUCCAGAGAUCCUUUCCAGGAAACUCUAGAGCAGGGGACCAGAAGUGCCUUCGCCCCACCCCACCCAGACCUCAGUACUCUCAGAGGCAGUUUAUACACUACCCUAUCCCACCUUCCUGAAUUCUACAAGGAUCCAAAUCUGAUUUCUACUGUGGAAUGGAAAGGAAGAUAAAAAGCCACUUACAAAUGUCUUUCUUAAGCUCAAAAUGUCUUUUGGUGGAAAGUCUGCGUAGACCAACAUUGUAUUAAAUCAAAAUUCCUUUCCAUCAACAAAAACAAGUGGUUACUACCUAAGAGAAAGAGUAUGUAUUUCAGAAUAUUUCUGGGGUUCUAUUAACAGUUCAUUCUCUUGACAAGUUGAAUGAUCUGGAGUAAAUCACUUGACCUCCAAUUCCAUGUUUUAAAUCAGUAAAAUUGGGUUAACAAAGUAAAUUUUAUAGUUAAAUGAGACAGUGGCAGGAAAGAAAUAUACUAUGCUGGUAGCAUAUAUCAGUUUCCCUUUAUCUUUCUUUCCCCUUAGCUUCACUCAAACUCAUCAUUCUGUAAAAAAAAAGAAAAAAAAAAACCUAAAAAUGGAAUCACUAACCAUCCUAGGACCACUUCCAGUGGGAUGUGCUUGCUAACUCGAUUGUCCUGCAGUGCUUCACGCAGUCCUCAGGGACAAUUACAUUAUCACCAGAUAAGACUGCUCAUAUAAGUGCUCAUGGUCAUCUGUAUUCAGGUUAUCUGGUGUUUAAAUAACAGUUAAGCUCCAAAUAUCUUUUCUUACUUAUCAACUACACAGAAACAUACAUAACAGCUUCCCAAAAGACUAAAAGAGAGGCAACCUUCAUCAACUUGCGUGGUCAGUUUCAGUUCAUAUGGUUUUCUCAAGCUUGAUCUCUUAAGAUGACAUUGAUCAUGUUUCAGCUCUUCCCCAGGGCCUCCCCAGAGCACAAUGCCCCCCAAACUCCAAAAGUUCCUUGAAGCCAAUUGGAUUUCUCUAAGAAUCAGUUCCAGUAAGGUGAAGCAUGAGGAAGUGCAACUCGAAGAACUAGGUCUAUCCUAAGAGAGCAUUAUGAGCACAGAGCUUGCUGGAGGUUAUCACUGAAGUAAAAACAGACUCUAAGAGUGUUCAGGGGACCAGAUAGCAAGCCUCACAUUACAGACUCAAUACAGUGUCUGCACUGUGUAUCAUGUACCCUAAGUAUGCAGGCAUAACCUUCUGUGGAUAACAUGCAAUAUUAUACUGAGUGCAUAAAAUAUUCUGCAAGUGUGCUUAAUUUGAAGAAUUAUGGAAAUGUGAUAUGAAUCAAAGCAUAAUGUUGGGCAUAUUGUGGGGAGGGUCAAU
Molecule: long non-coding RNA, 1956 nt
Organism: Sapajus apella (tufted capuchin)
Lineage: Eukaryota; Metazoa; Chordata; Mammalia; Primates; Cebidae
Exons: 4
Source: RefSeq, a predicted model, not a curated record